AUCGGAAUGAGUACACUUUAAAUCCUUUAACAAGGAUCCAUUGGAGGGCAAGUCUGGUGCCAGCAGCCGCGGUAAUUCCAGCUCCAAUAGCGUAUAUUAAAGUUGUUGCGGUUAAAAAGCUCGUAGUUGGUUCUGCGUGCCGCGCUGUCGGUUCGCCGCCUGUCGGUGUAACUGGCAUGUCGCGGCAUGUCCUGUCGGUGGUGAACGGAGUCCACGACGCUACAUGGGCUUUAUAGUCGAUGUUAGCAUCGUGUGUACUUCCGUUGGCCGAUCUCUCCUACUUCGGUGCUCUUAAACGAGUGUCGAGGUAGGCCGACACGUUCACUUUGAACAAAUUAGAGUGCUUAAAGCAGGCUGAAAUAUCUGCCUGAAUAGUGGUGCAUGGAAUGAUAAAACAGGACCUCGGUUCUAUUUUGUUGGUUUUAGGAAUAUGAGGUAAUGAUCAAUGUGGACUGGCGGGGGCAUUCGUAUUGCGACGUUAGAGGUGAAAUUCUUGGAUCGUCGCAAGACGCACUAGAGCGAAAGCAUUUGCCAAGUAUGUCUUAAUUGAUCAAGAACGAAAGUUAGAGGUUCGAAGGCGAUCAGAUACCGCCCUAGUUCUAACCAUAAACGAUGCCAGCCAGCGAUCCGCCGAUGUUCCUUUAAUGACUCGGCGGGGAGCUUCCACCCGGG
This 672-nucleotide ribosomal RNA is filed under the name Triatoma vandae. RNAcentral's name for it is "SSU rRNA". It matches the Rfam family "Eukaryotic small subunit ribosomal RNA", at positions 508 to 1094 of the family's 1831-position model. The record is from RNAcentral. Lineage: Eukaryota; Metazoa; Arthropoda; Insecta; Hemiptera; Reduviidae.